Molecule: unclassified non-coding RNA, 352 nt
Filed under: soil metagenome
Description: partial contains 5.8S ribosomal RNA, internal transcribed spacer 2, and large subunit ribosomal RNA
Rfam family: 5.8S ribosomal RNA (bases 1-120)
Source: RNAcentral
GAUGAAGAACGUAGCGAAAUGCGAUAAGUAAUGUGAAUUGCAGAACUCAGUGAAUCAUCGAAUCUUUGAACGCACAUUGCGCCCGCCAGUAUUCUGGCGGGCAUGCCUGUUCGAGCGUCAUUUCAACCCUCAGGCCCCCAGUGCCUGGUGUUGGGGAUCGGCCCAGCCUUCCUGUAAGGCCGCCGGCCCCGAAAUCUAGUGGCGGUCUCGCUGUAGUCCUCCUCUGCGUAGUAGCACAACCUCGCAGUUGGAACGCGGCGGUGGCCAUGCCGUUAAACACCCCACUUCUGAAAGUUGACCUCGGAUCAGGUAGGAAUACCCGCUGAACUUAAGCAUAUCAAUAAGCGGAGGA